This 28-nucleotide small RNA is filed under the name Bombyx mori (domestic silkworm). Its description in RNAcentral is "ovarian small RNA-24335". The record is from RNAcentral. Lineage: Eukaryota; Metazoa; Arthropoda; Insecta; Lepidoptera; Bombycidae.
UAUUUGUAAGGGUUGUCAACUCGCAGUA